AAAGUCAAUUAUGAAUGUAAUUGAUCUGACUGCCGUGCGUGAUGGUAUUCUCUCAUGUGUUUGAUGGACUUUAUUUGUAACCAAACGCUCGAUGUUUUUUUACAUCUGUGGCGUCAAUGUUAGCCUCCCAUCCGACCCGUCUUGAAACACGGACCAAGGAGUUCAGUAGGCACGCGAGUCGUUGACGUUGUGCAUUGAACAGUCGAAGGCGUAAUGAAAGUGUGCAAGAAAGUGAAUUGUACAUUUUUUUGUACUGUUUGCUUUCAGCAUGAUCGUCCUUUGUUUUGUUUGGGUGCUGCUUGAAUUUUUUCGGGCCACCUUUCUUAAUUUGGGGACGCGCAGUGUGGUGCCGUUGAAUAGUCGCACUGUUUCUCCUUCUCUUCGGGGUUGGAGGGACAAUUGUCGAUCAGUCGGUUUCGGAGCGUGCACACUGGUACCCGAAAGAAGGAAACUCUGGUGGAAGUUCGUAGCGGUGUUGACGUGCAAAUCACUCGUCUGACUUGAGUGUAGGGGCGAAAGACUAAUCGAACCAUCUAGUUGCUGGUUCCUUCCGAAGUUUCCCUCAGGAUAGCUGGCAUUUGUGUGUAACAAUUUUAUCCGGUAGAGCGAAUGAUUAGAGGUGUUGGGAACGCAAUGUUCUCAGCCUAUUCUCAAACUUCGAAUGGGUAAGCAAGGCGAUUUGCUUUGAUCUUUUUAUGAAAUCGCCCCUCCAAUUUGUUGAAGAAUGUAUAAAUGCCUAGUGGGCCAAUUUUGGUAAGCAGAACUGGCGAUGUGGAAUGAACCAAAAGUCAGGUUAAGGUGCCAGACAUUGGCGCUCAUGAAAUACCAGAAAAGGUGUUGGUCGAUAUAGACAGCAGGACGGUGGCCAUGGAAGUCGGAAUCCGCCAAGGAGUGUGUAACAACUCACCUGCCGAAUCGACUAGCCCUGAAAAUGGAUAGCGUUUGAGCGCCAGGCCCAUACCUGACCGUCUCAGCUACGCACUUUUGCUGGUUUCUCCGGUGAAGGUGUAAUGAACGUUGAGACGGGUAGGAAGGUCGCGACAGUGUUGCUUUGAAGAGUUUUGAGCGUGAGCUCGCUCGGAGCCGCUGUUGGUGCAGAUCUUGGUGGUAGUAGCAAAUAUUCAAGUGAGAACCUUGAAGGCUGAAGUGGAGCAAGGUUCCAUGUGAACAGCAGUUGGACAUGGGUCAGUCGAUCCUAAGAAAACGGCGAAAGCUUGUUCGAAUUUACGACAUAAAAUUUAAAACUGUGUAUGCAAAAGAAAGUAGUGUAGUGUUGGUAGCAGCAGCAGCAGUUGUGGUAGUGGUGGUGGUGGUGGUGGUGGUGGUGUGCCGCCGCCGCCGCCGCCGAAACUACUUUUUGCUGCUGUUGCGUUGCUACAAUCUUGGUGUUUUUGUUCUGUGCAGUUGUCGUAUGUUUUCGAAAGGGAAUCCGGUUGAUAUUCCGGAACCGAGUAACGGAGACAAAGAGUAGCGCUUUAAUCUCUUUCGGGUUGGCGUUCAACUCAAUCGCGCGGUAACGCAAGCGAACUCGGAAAAUGACCGUCGUGAGUUUCGAAAAGAGUUUUCUUUUCUUUUUAAGGGACGCAUUCCCUGGAACCGGGUUGUCCGGAGAUAGGGAUUCUGGUAUCCAUAAAACGCCGACUCUUUCACGGUGUUCGGAGCGCUCUCGUCGGUACGUGAAAAUCCGAGCGACGCCUGGUAAAUCUCGUACUUGGUCGUACUGAUAUCCGCAGCAGGUCUCCAAGGUGAAUAGCCUCUGGCCGAUAGAAUAAUGUAGGUAAGGGAAGUCGGCAAAACGGAUCCGUAACUUCGGAACAAGGAUUGGCUCUAAGGGCUGGGCCGAUCGGGCUGAGGUUUCAAGCGUGCAGUGUAUGCUUGGCUGAGUUGUGUUGAGGAUUGAUUCGCUUGGUGCCGUUUGUUGAACCAAUCGGCUAUCCAGGUGGUCAUGUCUGAAGCAAAGCUGGCCGACAGACCGGCACGUGCAGAACCUGAGCUGCGCGGCUGUCAGUUCAUUUGUACAGACCGUUUCGGUCGGCAUUCAACAGCCAACUUAGAACUGGCACGGACACAAGGAAUCUGACUGUAUAAUUAAAACAAAGCAUUGCGAUGGCCGAUGAUCGGUGUUGACGCAAUGUGAUUUCUGCCCAGUGCUCUGAAUGUCAAAGUAGCCAAAUGCCUAGUCAUUUAAUUAGUGACGCGUAUGAAUGGAUCAACAAGAUUCCUUCUGUCCCUAUCUACUAUCUAGCGAAACCACAGCCAAGGGAACGGGCUUGGCAAAAUCAGCGGGGAAAGAAGACCCUGUUGAGCUUGACUCUAGUCUGACUCUGUGAAGAGACAUGAAAGGUGUAGCAUAGGUGGGAGGCUGCAGUAGGGCGCUGUUUGGUGUCUUUGUGGUCGCCAGUGAAAUACCACCACUACGGUACAGUUGAACAACUACGCAAAAGCGUUUCGGCCUGUUGCCAAUGGAACUUCCGAAUCUUACAAGCCCUCCAGUUGCUGGUGAAUCUUACAGCCUCCAG
RNAcentral lists this ribosomal RNA (2519 nucleotides) under Trichinella zimbabwensis. RNAcentral's name for it is "eukaryotic LSU rRNA". It matches the Rfam family "Eukaryotic large subunit ribosomal RNA", at positions 513 to 2587 of the family's 3401-position model. Lineage: Eukaryota; Metazoa; Nematoda; Enoplea; Trichinellida; Trichinellidae. The record is from RNAcentral.